GAUGAACGCUGGCGGCGUGCCUAAUACAUGCAAGUCGAGCGAACGGACGAGAAGCUUGCUUCUCUGAUGUUAGAGGCGGACGGGAGAGUAACACGUGGAUAACCUACCUAUAAGACUGGGGUAACUUCGGGAAACCGGAGCUAAUACCGGAUAAUAUUUUGAACCGCAUGGUUCAAAAGUGAAAUACGGUCUUGCUGUCACUUAUAGAUGGACCCGCGCUGCAUUAGUUAGUUGGUAAGGUCACGGCUUACCAAGGCAGCGAUGCAUAGCCGACCUGAGAGGGUGGUCGGCCACCCGGGCAGUGAGACGCGGUCCCGACUCCUACGGGAGGCAGCAGUAGGGACUCUUCCGCAAUGGGCGAGAGCCUGACGGAGCACCGCCGGGUGAGUGGUGAAGGUCUUCGGAUCGUAAAACUCUGUUAUUAGUGAAGAACAUAUGUGUAAGUAACUGUGCAGAUCUUGACGGUACCUAAUCAGAAAGCCCCGGCUAACUACGUG
Molecule: ribosomal RNA, 497 nt
Filed under: uncultured bacterium
Lineage: Bacteria
Description: partial 16S ribosomal RNA
Rfam family: Bacterial small subunit ribosomal RNA
Source: RNAcentral